Molecule: ribosomal RNA, 302 nt
Filed under: Arthrobacter sp. RT-1
Lineage: Bacteria; Bacillati; Actinomycetota; Actinomycetes; Micrococcales; Micrococcaceae
Description: bacterial SSU rRNA
Rfam family: Bacterial small subunit ribosomal RNA
Source: RNAcentral
GGAGUACGGCCGCAAGGCUAAAACUCAAAGGAAUUGACGGGGGCCCGCACAAGCGGCGGAGCAUGCGGAUUAAUUCGAUGCAACGCGAAGAACCUUACCAAGGCUUGACAUGAACCGGACCGCCGCAGAAAUGUGGUUUCCCCUUUGGGGUCGGUUUACAGGUGGUGCAUGGUUGUCGUCAGCUCGUGUCGUGAGAUGUUGGGUUAAGUCCCGCAACGAGCGCAACCCUCGUUCUAUGUUGCCAGCACGUGAUGGUGGGGACUCAUAGGAGACUGCCGGGGUCAACUCGGAGGAAGGUGGGG